UCCCUGGAAACGGUAGCUAAUACCGCAUAAUGUCGCAAGACCAAAGAGGGGGACCUUCGGGCCUCUUGCCAUCGGAUGUGCCCAGAUGGGAUUAGCUUGUUGGUGGGGUAACGGCUCACCAAGGCGACGAUCCCUAGCUGGUCUGAGAGGAUGACCAGCCACACUGGAACUGAGACACGGUCCAGACUCCUACGGGAGGCAGCAGUGGGGAAUAUUGCACAAUGGGCGCAAGCCUGAUGCAGCCAUGCCGCGUGUAUGAAGAAGGCCUUCGGGUUGUAAAGUACUUUCAGCGGGGAGGAAGGGAGUAAAGUUAAUACCUUUGCUCAUUGACGUUACCCGCAGAAGAAGCACCGGCUAACUCCGUGCCAGCAGCCGCGGUAAUACGGAGGGUGCAAGCGUUAAUCGGAAUUACUGGGCGUAAAGCGCACGCAGGCGGUUUGUUAAGUCAGAUGUGAAAUCCCCGGGCUCAACCUGGGAACUGCAUCUGAUACUGGCAAGCUUGAGUCUCGUAGAGGGGGGUAGAAUUCCAGGUGUAGCGGUGAAAUGCGUAGAGAUCUGGAGGAAUACCGGUGGCGAAGGCGGCCCCCUGGACGAAGACUGACGCUCAGGUGCGAAAACGCGGGGAGCAAACAGGAUUAGAUACCCUGGUAGUCCACGCCGUAAACGAUGUCGACUUGGAGGUUGUGCCCUUGAGGCGUGGCUUCCGGAGCUAACGCGUUAAGUCGACCGCCUGGGGAGUACGGCCGCAAGGUUAAAACUCAAAUGAAUUGACGGGGGCCCGCACAAGCGGUGGAGCAUGUGGUUUAAUUCGAUGCAACGCGAAGAACCUUACCUGGUCUUGACAUCCACGGAAGUUUUCAGAGAUGAGAAUGUGCCUUCGGGAACCGUGAGACAGGUGCUGCAUGGCUGUCGUCAGCUCGUGUUGUGAAAUGUUGGGUUAAGUCCCGCAACGAGCGCAACCCUUAUCCUUUGUUGCCAGCGGUCCGGCCGGGAACUCAAAGGAGACUGCCAGUGAUAAACUGGAGGAAGGUGGGGAUGACGUCAAGUCAUCAUGGCCCUUACGACCAGGGCUACACACGUGCUACAAUGGCGCAUACAAAGAGAAGCGACCUCGCGAGAGCAAGCGGACCUCAUAAAGUGCGUCGUAGUCCGGAUUGGAGUCUGCAACUCGACUCCAUGAAGUCGGAAUCGCUAGUAAUCGUGGAUCAGAAUGCCACGGUGAAUACGUUCCCGGGCCUUGUACACACCGCCCGUCACACCAUGGGAGUGGGUUGCAAAAGAAGUAGGUAGCUUAACCUUCGGGAGGGCGCUUACCACUUUGUGAUUCAUGACUGGGGUGAAGUCGGAACAAGGUAACCGUAGGGAACCUGCGGUUG
RNAcentral lists this ribosomal RNA (1376 nucleotides) under metagenome. RNAcentral describes it as "bacterial SSU rRNA". It matches the Rfam family "Bacterial small subunit ribosomal RNA", at positions 147 to 1520 of the family's 1533-position model. The record is from RNAcentral.